Molecule: transfer RNA, 82 nt
Filed under: Nocardioides sp.
Lineage: Bacteria; Bacillati; Actinomycetota; Actinomycetes; Propionibacteriales; Nocardioidaceae
Also listed under: 2 other names
Description: tRNA-Leu
Rfam family: tRNA
About the family: Transfer RNA (tRNA) molecules are approximately 80 nucleotides in length. Their secondary structure includes four short double-helical elements and three loops (D, anti-codon, and T loops).
Source: RNAcentral
GCCGAAGUGGUGGAACUGGCAGACACGCGGGUUUUAGGUACCCGUGCCUUCGGGCGUGGGGGUUCAAGUCCCCCCUUCGGCA